RNAcentral lists this transfer-messenger RNA (353 nucleotides) under Oscillospiraceae. Its description in RNAcentral is "Ruminiclostridium_E sp016297165 Standard tmRNA". It matches the Rfam family "transfer-messenger RNA". Rfam says of the family: Bacterial tmRNA, also known as 10Sa RNA or SsrA, is named for its dual tRNA and mRNA-like properties. Its role is to liberate the mRNA from a stalled ribosome. Lineage: Bacteria; Bacillati; Bacillota; Clostridia; Eubacteriales. RNAcentral also lists the same sequence under 1 other name. The record is from RNAcentral.
GGGGCCGUAAAGGUUUCGACGGGGGUUUUGAAGCCCACUAAGCAUGUAGAGUUCGCCUAAACUCUUAAAAAAUGGGUACUUUUAAAAUUAAACGCAGAUUAUAGAUCUGAAUUAGUAGCUGCCUAAUCGCGGCUUCCGUUCCUCCGUUGAGUGCUGUGGCUUCGGUAGGAGCGUCAUCUAACAGCCAACGCUUAUAGCGAGCGCUCUGUAGCUUUAAGCGCACUUAAAGAGCUACCGAAAGGUUAUCCUGUCUGUCGGAGAACCCGUAGGGAAGCCUAAAAGACCGACUAAACAUGUAGAAAGGCGUGUGAAUGAGCUUUCGGACGGGGGUUCGACUCCCCCCGGCUCCACCA